AGAGUUUGAUCAUGGCUCAGGACGAACGCUGGCGGCGUGCUUAACACAUGCAAGUCGAACGGUGAAGCCCUUCGGGGUGGAUCAGUGGCGAACGGGUGAGUAACACGUGAGCAACCUGCCUCUGGCUCUGGGAUAACUCCGGGAAACCGGGGCUAAUACUGGAUAUGACGCGUCCGGGCAUCCGGGUGUGUGGAAAGUUUUUCGGCCAGAGAUGGGCUCGCGGCCUAUCAGCUUGUUGGUGGGGUGAUGGCCUACCAAGGCGACGACGGGUAGCCGGCCUGAGAGGGCGACCGGCCACACUGGGACUGAGACACGGCCCAGACUCCUACGGGAGGCAGCAGUGGGGAAUAUUGCGCAAUGGGCGAAAGCCUGACGCAGCGACGCCGCGUGAGGGAUGAAGGCCUUCGGGUUGUAAACCUCUUUCAGCAGGGAAGAAGCGCAAGUGACGGUACCUGCAGAAGAAGCACCGGCUAACUACGUGCCAGCAGCCGCGGUAAUACGUAGGGUGCAAGCGUUGUCCGGAAUUAUUGGGCGUAAAGAGCUCGUAGGCGGUCUGUCGCGUCUGCUGUGAAAACUCGGGGCUUAACCCCGGGCCUGCAGUGGGUACGGGCAGACUAGAGUGCGGUAGGGGAGACUGGAAUUCCUGGUGUAGCGGUGAAAUGCGCAGAUAUCAGGAGGAACACCGGUGGCGAAGGCGGGUCUCUGGGCCGUAACUGACGCUGAGGAGCGAAAGCGUGGGGAGCGAACAGGAUUAGAUACCCUGGUAGUCCACGCCGUAAACGUUGGGCGCUAGGUGUGGGGCUCUUUCCACGAGUUCCGUGCCGCAGCUAACGCAUUAAGCGCCCCGCCUGGGGAGUACGGCCGCAAGGCUAAAACUCAAAGGAAUUGACGG
RNAcentral lists this ribosomal RNA (892 nucleotides) under uncultured bacterium. Its description in RNAcentral is "bacterial SSU rRNA". It matches the Rfam family "Bacterial small subunit ribosomal RNA", at positions 8 to 916 of the family's 1533-position model. The record is from RNAcentral.